CUUGCUCCUGAUCUCCCGUGACACACGAUGCAAGGCUGGGCAGGACUGGCUGCCCUCCGGCAAGCAAUUAUUGUCACGUCCGUAUCACUCCAUCUCCGCCUGACAACUGUCGCCUGGGCGUCGCCCUGGAAACCAGACGGCCACGACUGAUCGAUGGCGAGAGAGACAAUGACGGAGAGCUUAAGUCGACUGUUACAACACACACUUCACCAGAUCUCAUAGGAGCCAGUUUGGGGAGCGGUGGAAAGACCUUGACUGAGUAGCGCAUCAAGAAUUCUUGGGAGAAACAUUCAUCCAAAAUUAUUACUGGAACUUCCAAAGGAAGCCAAGCCCCAAACUCGCGAGGAGGCCCCUCGCUCAGGGUUCAACCAGGACUCGGCAACGCCAAGGCGCUUUGGCCACACCGCAGCAGCGGCAGCAGCAAUCAACGGCAGCAGAUGGCACACGCCAGAGUGGGCGGUUGUGGUGGACUGGGAGGGUUCUUGCAAGUGAAGGUCGUCUGUUGAAUCGACGGAUAUCAGCGCUGGCGUGACGUGGGUCUGGUGGUCUGUGCGAGGUAUUGGUGGACAUCGAGCGACUUGGCGCUACAGCUGCCGGUCACUGACAUCUUCGCCGCGCAAAGAUCGGGAUCGGCGGCAGUGUUUGUCAGAUCUUGACGCGGCCACGAGCAUUGCCCGGGCUGAGAGGAGAGACGAGAGAGGCCUGUUCCUACACAUGCGAGCACAGACGUAAUAAACGGGACGACCCAAGCCUCUGCCGCAAUGCGGAAAAUGGGCUUACACGGAGAAUGCGAAAUACGUCCCAGCGAAGGCGCACGGUGGGUCGGGUGGCACAUGGCAUGGGAGCAGUGCCUUUUUAUGCCACCUCAGCCUUCCUUUCCUCCCUUCCUCGGGGGUGACCGGCUGUGACACGGCCAUCAUCACCGGCGCCCUCUCAGCUCGGCGGGACCUUUCAUCAAAUAUCCCGGAUAUCUCGGGUUACUCUGCCACUCUUUUGCAAUGCAAACUAUAAACAACUUUUGUUGUUAUUUUACCAGGUAAGGCCCUACUGAGCUAUGUAGCUAUUUUUCAAAAGCAACCUGGCUAUCACAAGUGAUAGCUCAACGAAGCGGCUCAUUAUAAUGUGGACAUUUACAUCGGCCAAAUUACUCUAAACGCCUGUUUCUAAAUGUGGACGGGAAAACCCGGAGGACUUGGAGAAAAAUCCAUGCGACCACGAGGCAGAACAUGCAAACUCCAAAUAUACAGCAGCAGGCGUCAAGAUCGGGAUCGAACCCACGAUCUCCUGUAUACCAGGCGAAGAAGUUGAUUUAUUGCCACCGCUGCCUGCCUUCCACUCUUCAUAAACACGCACGCACUCUUACAACCAACUCCGCGACAUUGCCCUAAAUUCAUGAGCGGCAGCAGCCACGGUCAAUGCACUGGUGGAUGGAAGCCUGCCCCAAGCUGUUGCCACCUCUCAUGGUCGGGCGAUGUAGCGAUCCAUCUCGCUCUUGUAAAUGGGGUUGAUUUCAUCGCUGCAUCUCUGCACCGUCCCUCCGUUGGCUCCCACUCAAAUGUCGGUCGUCAUUACAGUCAUCUUCCUCUAGGACGCCACACUUGAAAAAAAGCAAAUUCAGCAAUAACUACAUUGGCACAAUUAAAUUAUAUACAAAGUAGGUUUUUUAUAUUUUUUGUUACUAACAGGCAUUAGAUAACGUGCCCACAGUCGACGGACGGUCAACUAAUUUACGCAACAUUUUCCACGUGCAACUUAAGUAAUGGACAUAUUGCAAUACAGCUAGUACUCUGUGUGGCAAUUAUUUAUUAGAGUGUUAUGGCUGGCUUGCAGUUGACAUGCUGACAUUGGGCCGGCGUUGGUGAAACGUUGGCCAAGUGCGUUCACCAAAAAAAAAAUUUGGCUCGUUGUCGGCAUGCGGUCGGUGCUGGCCCAGGGAUCGCAGCUGACGUCACCAUAACAGGUGUCAAUUGAGAGCCCCCCUUACCAGAUGUCGUUAUGGUGCAAGUGCAGGAGGUAAUGCACUCCCUUUAAUUAAUAAUCAACCCCAUUGCUUUAUACGCCCGUCUCGGCGAAGCUUGAAAACAUGUACCCGGUAAAUUUAGCCUCGGCAUCUGUGGUCCCCGUGGAAUCGGUAAUAGCUGGGAGAAAUCAGAAGAAGAAAACAAGGCAACUUAGCCAAUCCACCUGUGCAUCAUCCGUAUGACAUCGCCUCAAUCGUUUAGUUGGCGGAGUCAAAUUAACGACGUCCAUUUCACCUACAUGACGGCAUUGCGGUUCAGGUAACAUUACAUUUAAUAGGUGGGGCAGCAAGGACUCUACCUUCUCCCACCAAGAACAGCACGAAUUCUCUCUCUCCCCGUGCCCUCUCGUGGCGAGCAGACCCCUUCCCAACAGCGUGCUUCUCCAGAACACGUUGCCAUACACGCAGGAAGGGAAUACUGCAGUUGCCGGGAGGGACAUGCUCAUGCAUUCAUGAUGAAACGUGCGCACGCACUUGUUAAGGCAGUGCCGGAUCCUGGAUAGUGUUCAUAUGAUGAUGUUAUUAUACUUGGUUACCCAGAAAAGUCUCACUGAAUCUCAUGACCCUUUUUCAGGAGGGUCCUACCAAGUGUUUUGUAGUCAGGGAUUGUGGGGGGGGGGGGCGGACAAUCAUUGCUCUGUAAAUAUUCCAAUAGCGCAGUGGUUCUUAACCUUUACUGCAGCCUUGCACCCUUUUGAGUCGUAAUCCUUAAAACAUGUAUAAUGUUAAUAAAUGGUGUUUGAUAAAACAAAGUAGUUGUACUUACGUGCCCGUGCUUAAUUUGUGUUUUCGAUAACACUGGUCAACAAAAAAAAAAUUCUGGCCUGGACUUUUGCAGCUGUUUUAGACUCAUUUCAGGGUGCUGAUUCCAAAUCUGAUCUCAGAUUUGCUCUAUCAUCUCAUUUUAUGCUAUCGGCAUACCUCAUUUUCAUUGAUUUUACCCGAAAUUAACUCUGUCACUUAUGAUUGCAAGUUGUUGCGAGUCAGUGACUGCUUUAGUGUUAAAAUAUGGUGCUGUAUUUUUAGGAUAGUGUUUAUAAUAUUUUAUGUAGAUAUCUACAUUUAUUUAAUAUUUUUCUUCUGCAGUCUUUAUUGAAAAUGCAAUAUUUGAUAUCUAAAAAACCUGAUGUGAUAGACAAAAACUGAUGCCAAAUUUGGAAUCAUCACCCCAAAAUUACAUUAAAACCGUUGGAAUACCUUGUGCCAGAAAAAGUGUGUUGACCAGUGUUAUUUACCUUCAAAAAAAAAAUCUGUCCGCGUCUCGCACCCGCAGCAAAAGGGCAUCUCGCACCCCCAGGGAAUGCGUGCACCCCGGGUUAAGAAGAGCCACUGCAGUCGAGUAAUGUGGGUCACUUUUUUUUUAAAUCUCCAAACGCCACUAAGUACUUGUGUGUGUGAACCACAAUUGCACAAGACGGGCGUUGGUUGUAGGCCACCGAGAGCUUUACGGUGUCGACGGGAAGGCAGUUCAGCCCAAAUCCACGAUUGUUACAGGAAUUAAGCUCCCAGCAUUUACGGCUCCUGCCUUCGCUAAGCCACAUUGGCCGCCGUGGUCAACUUAUGGCCCCACGAGCAGCGAGGAUGUGGACAGACGACGGUUGUGUCUUUGUACUGUUGUUGUAACGUUCUUGCAAACCCCUACUGACGACAUCUGUGAAAAAAAGCUUUAUAGCGCAUCGGAUUCCUCCAGUUUAAAUACACAUUCUGAUGAGGGCCUCAUCCAGCAGUGGAUUUAUGAAUGGGUUGUACAUUUGCGCGUACAGACAUGGCUUGCAAGGCAAGAACGACGACCUGUGCAUGGACGUAUACGACGGUAUAAAUGCAGGGUAAAAUAUGAUGCAAAUAUCACCAUUUAAACUAUGUUUAAUAUCGUCUUUUGCAUUUUCGAUACGAUUAUUUACGUUGUGUAUGAAUCUUUAUUUUCUGUAUGAGUUGGUGAUGUAAAGAAAAAUGUAUUGAUAGUUAUGUAAUGCUGAUAUGCUUUAAGUGCGUAGGCCCAGGCUGCUGCUGUGUAUGUGUACAAUAUAUUGUUUGGUCUCGAGUUCAAUCAUAACAAAUGACGAAGCCUGUAUGUGAAUUAAAUAUCUUUCACAUCAGAAUGUAUG
This is a long non-coding RNA of Lethenteron reissneri (Far Eastern brook lamprey), 4125 nucleotides long. RefSeq lists it as uncharacterized. The record is from RefSeq and is a predicted model, not a curated record. NCBI's taxonomy places the organism in Eukaryota, Metazoa, Chordata, Hyperoartia, Petromyzontiformes, Petromyzontidae.